ACACUCAACUGUGACAAUCAAAGUACCCUGGCACUUGCAGAGAAUCCAGUUCACCAUCGACGGACAAAACACAUAGAUGUACGCCACCAUUACAUUCGAGAACAAGUUGAAAACAAACAAAUCAUCCUCAAUUACGUUCCUGAUGAGCAAAUGGUCGCAGAUGUGUUAACAAAGCCAAUUCCUAAUCCAAAGUUAAAAUUCUGUGCUAAUGGCUUCGGUCUCAAAGUGUAAAAAUCUAAUUUCAAUUUUUUCCUCAAAUGAAUUUCUUCCAUUUUUUUCACAUUGCCAAAUUGAGGAGAAGUGUUUUUAUGUGUUAAAUUUUUAGAAAUCUGUCAUUUCAAUUUUUCCUCAAAUGAAUUUCUUCCAUUUUUUCACAUUGCCAAAUGAGGAGAAGUGUUGAAGUGCAAGUUGGCAAUGCAGUGUAAAACUGUCAUGUUGGUAGUACGAAGUACUAAUCUAACCUAGUCGUGUGAGACUGCGUGCUGUAGCGCAGUCAGGUAUUCUUACGUAAUGUGAUAAUUAAUAAAUCACUGUUCGUUCAUUUUAAAUCACUUCAAUGCCUUCCUUUUUAUCCACUGCUUUAAUUAAGCUACCUCAACAAAUCAAACUCACUAAAUAAGGUUGUUUGUUUUAAUUUCUUGUAGCAUUGAAUGCAGCGCAGAAGGCUUUCCAGGAAAUGGAAGGAGCUAAAAACCUAGCAGAGGACAUGAAAAGAAAGAACUUAGAAAGGGAAAAGGAACUUGAAAGAGAAUGUAAUGACUGUAGAGAAUAUCACUUGCAAAUUCUGAAAGAGACUCAACAAAAAAGUGAGAAGGCCCAGGCGCAGCUAGCUGAAGAGAAAAAAGAGUUGGAUGCACUAAGUGAAGAACUCGAGAGCUGGCAAACAAAGACUGCACAGUUAAAAAUUCGUGCCCAAGAAAAACAAAAUGAGUUGGACACUGUAAAGAAGUCCAACAACGAAUGGUUAACUUUACAUAAGGCUAAUAUGAAACAGUUGAACAAAGAACUAGAGGUGGCUGACGUCUCGAUCAAAGAAAAAGAGGAAUCGUUGGAGAAACUACUGAAAGAGAUGGCUGCUCUGAGGGCAAGAGCAGGAGCAGCUCAGCAAGAAGAAACCUGUCUCAGGAAGAAACUUGCAGAAGAAAAGACCAUUAUCGCUAAUUUGCGACAACUGAAUUCAGAUGCUGAUUCACAUAGAACUGAUUUAACCAAGAAAAUCACAACUUCAGAAUGUGAAUCCAAAAAUCUCAAUAUCAAGAUAAAUUCUCUUAAGAAUGAAGUAGGGAGUGUAGAAAAAAAGACAAUUUCUGUUAAAGAGAAAAUUGUGCUAGAAGAUCGCAGCUUUGAAGAGAUGUUGGCCAAUCUGGAUGCUUCCAUAAUUGAAGAAACUAAAAAAAUGCCAUUGCUGCUGAUAGAGAAAGACUCAACAAAAUUGCGGAUCUCACCAAUUUCGCUGUUACGAAAGAUAGCCUUGCAGAAUCUCUCGAAAAUGAACUCGAAAAAGAAAAUGAAGAAAAUGAGAAAUUAAAACAGGAAUUAGUGGAUCUUGUGCAUGAAGAACUUGAAGAAGCUGAAUGCUUUGAGAGUGCCAUCAAUAAAAUAAAAUCUGAAUCGGAUAAAAA
Molecule: long non-coding RNA, 1622 nt
Filed under: Bemisia tabaci
Lineage: Eukaryota; Metazoa; Arthropoda; Insecta; Hemiptera; Aleyrodidae
Description: lncRNA ENSSSA1NGG004056
Source: RNAcentral